GACGAACGCUGGCGGCGUGCUUUACACAUGCAAGUCGAACGAUGAACCCGGAGCUUGCUCCGGCGGAUUAGUGGCGAACGGGUGAGUAACACGUGAGUAACCUGCCCUUGACUCUGGGAUAACUGCUAGAAAUGGUAGCUAAUACCGGAUACGACCCUCGGCGGCAUCGCCAGGGGGUGGAAAGAAUUUCGGUCAAGGAUGGACUCGCGGCCUAUCAGCUAGUUGGUGAGGUAACGGCUCACCAAGGCGACGACGGGUAGCCGGCCUGAGAGGGUGACCGGCCACACUGGGACUGAGAUACGGCCCAGACUCCUACGGGAGGCAGCAGUGGGGAAUAUUGCACAAUGGGCGCAAGCCUGAUGCAGCGACGCCGCGUGAGGGAUGACGGCCUUCGGGUUGUAAACCUCUUUCAGCACCGACGAAGCGCAAGUGACGGUAGGUGCAGGAGAAGGACCGGCCAACUACGUGCCAGCCGCCGCAGUAA
RNAcentral lists this ribosomal RNA (484 nucleotides) under uncultured bacterium. RNAcentral describes it as "partial 16S ribosomal RNA". It matches the Rfam family "Bacterial small subunit ribosomal RNA", at positions 28 to 523 of the family's 1533-position model. The record is from RNAcentral.